UCUUCUUAUAAAACAUAUGUUAAGUAAAAGAAAAAAUGUAAAUGAUAGGAACUGGAUAAAAGUAACCACCAUUUACAUGUUAGCAUGUAUUUUGAGUACAUUUACAGACUUUAUAUGGAUGAAAUGAAAAUACAUAGAUUUAUAAAAAAGGAAGAUGCACUUUCUCCUUUCAAUAAAUUGUAUCUUUGUACGGCUAGCCUCAUCUUCAGUGUGUUUCUUUCUCUAAAUCCUUUAAAAACAGCUGCAGAGAAGCAGCCAAAAUUUCAGUAAUGAGAGGGUCAUGACUGAAUUAUUUCCAGCCCUGAAGUUUGACAGUAAAGGGAAAAUUCAUGUCAAUUUUGUAAGUUUAAAUUAAAGGAUUAAAAACACUGUGUGUUGCAGAACAAGAGAAGGAAGCAGGGAUGUACCAAAAACUUAAAACAAGAUACCUUUCUACAUUUGGAAAAACCACAAGUACGGAGGAUGUACCAAGAAAUUACAUAGAGCGGGGACUUCAUUCCAUAAAGAACAAUGAUAGUGCAUUAAUCACUACGGCAACCAUUCCAACACGGACAAUGGACCACACUGUCCCUUAGAGAUACAGACUUCAAUCACGCAGGAAGAGGUUUUCCAAAGUGUACAUUCAUUGCCAUUCCCCACUCCCUCACGUGCCAUGCACACAAAGUGCUGGUAUUUCUCACUGUGGGUAGUGACAACGACCCUUCUCUACCCUGCCUUAAGCCUCCCCCCACCUUGCCUACCGCUGACAUCGUAAUCGCUGUCCUGGGCCUCUGCUAGUGGUUGAAGAGGUCCACCGCCCUCAGGAGUGCUGGCACUUGGACAGACAAGGGGAUUUUCUCUACCCUAAAAAGUGAUGAUGACCCGCCUGACCUUCAGAAGUCACAGAUUCACAGGGGAGGCAUAUACUGAAAAUGUAAUUACAACGCAUUGUGUCCAGGGGUUCCACUGGAUACGUGCUAGGGAACCAUAGAAGACGUACUCCUCAUCCUGCCUCGAUGACAACAAAAGAGUUCCCAGAGAAGUUAUUACUUCAACACAGUCUCCAAUAAAGUGGAAAUUCUCCAGACAGACCGGGGGAUGGGAAAAGUGUCAUAGGAUCAUAAUUUACCAUUCUUUUUCCUUCUGUACGAUACGCAAUGACAGUGGAAAGGGCAGAUGUCAUCAGAGAAUACCUUCCAGAUACAACUCUUUCAUGAUCCUGGGAUUGGUUUUCAUAUGGAGUGGAAUGGGGAGUCCCAUCUCAGAAGAGAAUCGAAACAGUUAUCAUCCUGCCAGAUAUUACAAGAUCUCUGCCUGGAUUUUAUAUACUACUCCCUAGAGAGACAUUAUGGAAAAACCAAGAAAACCACCUACUUGAAAUUUAACAC
Molecule: long non-coding RNA, 1367 nt
Organism: Panthera uncia (snow leopard)
Lineage: Eukaryota; Metazoa; Chordata; Mammalia; Carnivora; Felidae
Exons: 3
Source: RefSeq, a predicted model, not a curated record